CACGCCGUAAACGAUGAGUGCUAAGUGUUAGGGGGUUUCCGCCCCUUAGUGCUGAAGUUAACGCAUUAAGCACUCCGCCUGGGGAGUACGACCGCAAGGUUGAAACUCAAAGGAAUUGACGGGGGCCCGCACAAGCGGUGGAGCAUGUGGUUUAAUUCGAAGCAACGCGAAGAACCUUACCAGGUCUUGACAUCCUCUGACCGCCUUGGAGACAAGGUUUCCCCUUCGGGGGCAGAGUGACAGGUGG
RNAcentral lists this ribosomal RNA (247 nucleotides) under uncultured Caryophanales bacterium. RNAcentral's name for it is "uncultured Bacillales bacterium partial 16S ribosomal RNA". It matches the Rfam family "Bacterial small subunit ribosomal RNA", at positions 796 to 1041 of the family's 1533-position model. The record is from RNAcentral. Lineage: Bacteria; Bacillati; Bacillota; Bacilli; Caryophanales.